This is a long non-coding RNA of Silurus meridionalis, 855 nucleotides long. RefSeq lists it as uncharacterized. The transcript has 4 exons. Lineage: Eukaryota; Metazoa; Chordata; Actinopteri; Siluriformes; Siluridae. The record is from RefSeq and is a predicted model, not a curated record.
GGGGACUCCUGAAAGGUUGUGGGUGAAUAUCAGCUAAUGCUUUUUAAACAUUCAGAGAUCCAGCUUCAAUUAAGUAAGGCCACUGACGGGAAAGACGAUGUCAGCGGAUAUUGCUCAAAGCUUGUGGAGCAUCACUCAUUCAUCAGUCUGGACGUAUUCCUGAACCCACCCUAAAAUUACAGCUGAUCAGUAUAUAAACUGCAGCGACCCAGAAGCAGAGACACUGUGGAAUAUGUGGACUGAAUGAAAGCGUUCAAGGAUGUGGAAGUUGAGGACGACACUGCUCCUGAUGCUGCUUUCAUUUGUUUUCACCAAACCUCUUCAUCCCAGGUACGGAAAUAGACAUCUGACAAUAAACAGUAGGUUUCAUGACUCCAAAUCCAUGGAAUCGAAUGAAUCAAGCAACUCAUCUUCUGAAUCUGAGAUGUCUACAUCCAGUGAAUCUGGUACUUCUUCAACUAGCGACUCCAGUGAGUCUUCAUCGUCUGAGGAGGAUUUGAUCACCACUGCUGAACCUGAGCCUACCAGGCGUACAACUGUUCUACCACCGUUGGUCACGUGUUUUACAGUGCAUCAGCAAACUGAGCCUAGAGGAGAUAUUUAGUUGCUGUACCUUAAAGCUUAAGAAAAGACACAUAAGUAUUGAUUUUAGUCAUUUGCUGGUCUGAUCAAAUCUUUUUCUAUAUUCGAGACACUUAAAUUUUUAUUUGAUUUGAUUCAUUUGAUUUCAUUGUUAUUGCGCUGUAAUGAAUGACAUUAACAUUGUUAUAGCAAAGGUAACGUUCUGUAUUCAAAUAUAUGCAAUGCAUUUUUAAUGUCAUGUUACAAUAAAUAACGUUAUAAAACCACGGCAUG